ACUCAGAAGCUGCCUUGAAGAAAGGGUCUACCCAGCAUGGUGCGUGAAGCCUAAGCAAUCAGUACUUCAAGACUUCACCCGGCCCCUUUCCAAUAACUGCUGCUGUCGCCCUCACAGGAUGUCACCCUCAGUGUCUGAAAGCUGGGUUUGAUGCGUCUGGAAAGGCUCCCCUGACAGGCAUCAUUGCCGGGAGCCCCUAGUGCCGCCAGCAGCCAGCAGGGGAGGGCGUCCUCUGCCCGCUCACUUCUGACCCUUCUCAGGGAGCAGCCUGGGCUGCGCGGAAGGCUCAGAUUUGGGGAUGGCCCUUGCCAGUGACAGUGACCUGGGGUGUCUUGGAAACUCCCAGUCUCAGCUUCUCCAUUUAUAAGAUGAGAAUGAUCAUACCAGCCUCAGGCAAGGUUGUUUGUGCAUUAGUGAAAUCAGACGUAUUAAAUAAAGUACCAUAUUGAUCAUGGAGUUGUUGAAUAACCAAGAACACACCUAACUGUCUCCAAAAAAUACAUGUUGAAAAUGA
This 514-nucleotide long non-coding RNA is filed under the name Pongo abelii (Sumatran orangutan). RNAcentral describes it as "lincRNA". The record is from RNAcentral. Lineage: Eukaryota; Metazoa; Chordata; Mammalia; Primates; Hominidae.